Molecule: ribosomal RNA, 372 nt
Filed under: Triticum aestivum (bread wheat)
Lineage: Eukaryota; Viridiplantae; Streptophyta; Magnoliopsida; Poales; Poaceae
Description: partial small subunit ribosomal RNA
Source: RNAcentral
AUGCCCACCACCACAACAGAUGCACGCGUAGGGUCCACCGCCAUAUCAGGGAGGAUGUCGCGGUUUGCUUACCCUCCUCUAUUUGCCUUUGGUUUCCCAGGUGCACCCCUGCCAUGGAUGUUUGCUGGUGGGUACCCUUACCCUCCUCCAAUGUUUCAAGGGAAUCAGUGGGAUGGAAAUCAGGGACAUGGAUUUGAUCGAAAACAUAAAGUAAAGCAAGGAGGCGAUCAGGAGUAUCAGAGGAAGUUACAGAAUCAGGGUGCAAGUCAGCAGAGAGAGAAACAAAAAAAGAAUCUAGAGAAGAAUAGUGUGGGCAGUAAUUCUAGAGGGGCUGAUCAAAAUCACCCAAAAGACUUCACUGACUAUCCAUAG